UAGAGCGUAACUUGUGUGCAGAAGGCCGGACGGGUCACAGAGGUGACUCCGGUAGAGUGAUAAUGAUAGAUUUUGAGCUCUAGGUUCAACCGUAUAGGGCUAUUAGAGGGCCUACGGUUGAUUACUUUCUUGCACCUGAUAUGAUUAUGUUGAUGCAUUCAUACCUUAUUACUGUUGAGAUGAUGUGGCAUGGCAUAAUUAAUAUGAGAAAUGUUGAGAUGACAUGGCAUGGCAUGAUUGAUAAAGAAAAAUGUUGAGAUAGUAAAAAAUGAAGUUUGAGAAUAUAUAUGUAUAUUUAUAUUUUACAUUUCUGGGAAAGUAUACAGGUUUUACGGAGAGGGGUUACAACGUUUUGAGAAAUGUUUGGAUUUGGAAAAAGAAUUGUUUUACUGACCCACUCAAUUUUGGUUUUGCGCCCCUCCAGGUUCAGGAAUCACAAAGGUGUGGUGACUACGAGGAAUUCGACGGUGUUCUGACAGAUUGGACAAAAUUAGGACUCACCUUCGGGUGUAUCAAUUUAUAAAUUGUAUCUUAAAGCUUCCGUACUGUGCAAAUGGUUACGUCACUCUCACGUGACGGCCAGCAUGCCCUCCUUCGGGACGGGGUGGGGUGUGUCAGUUGGUAUCAGAGCAUGGUUGCAAUCUUGGACAUCUUGAGAAGUUUCUAGUGAAUUCUGUCAGAACUACACCGCCUCGUAGCAAACCACGUAGUUAGAGGAAUUUAGUCUCCCUGAUUUAGCGGGUUAGGGGAAACUAUUCUUAUGGUGAUUCAGUAUAUUAGAAAAAUGGACAUUUUAAGACGGGUUAUGAGUUGAAUUUGAAUCACUUAAGAGAAAUGAUGAACCUGAGGGAGCGAAGUAACGGUUUAACAUAACCAUUUGGAAAAGAUGUUUCGGAUUAUGCAAGUCAAAGGAAUCUUCCUUCUGACAAGGGGUCGAGAUGACUACCUGGUUUUGAGUUAUGAACGUGUAUCCUGGAUGGAAGCAGGAGUAUUAAUUGUUGUCACCAGAGGAAUCAGCCGAUUUAAAAUUGUUUAAGGACUUGUUUAAGGAAAAGUUUUAUCCCUCCGGCAUUUAUCGAUGGUAGUAAACAAGAGUUUACAAAUAUGAGACAAGGAAGGUGAUGAUCGAGGGAUAUUAUAGAAAGUUUUCAGACUUGCCUCGUUCCAUCCAGAUAUUGUUGUUAAUUUGGUGGAGGUGUUAUGUUGUUUUAAGCUGGGUGGCAAAAAAGGGAAGUGGUAUUUUGGGUGACCACUAUCCAUUAUACUUCUUACCAGGAAUAUACGAGAUGCUGUUGAGUCUUGAGGACUCUGAGAACAUGAGCAACGAGAAUAAAUAAGAAGAAUAAGAAAUGAAUGGGAAUUAAAAGAAGACGAUAAAGUUAAUGAUUCGUCAUAUCAAGGAUAUAGAAAGAUUCAGAGCUUCGAAAGAAGUGAAGCUAGAGUUAAUUCUUCCAGCUGAGGUUUUAAUGUCGCUGGUCAGAGUAAAAGUGAUGGAUAUACUGGUAAUCCCAGAUAUUUGAGACAAGGUGUCUCGAGUAAAGGAAAUGUACCUUGUGCAGCAGGUACAAAAUUAACACUUUGGGAAGUGUGAAAUUAAUGAAUGUGUUUAUGUGAACAGAGGGGACACAGAAUUGUGAAUCGUCCCUAGAAUCAGUUGUACCCAACAGUUUUUCUAUGACAUCAUAGUGUUGAUUCAGCAGAGUUAUGGAUUUAGUAGUUUGGUCGGAUUGACCGUGAGUACAGAGAGAUUUGAUGAGUUAUAUGUUCAGCCGUACAGACCAUGAGAAGUGGAUUCGAUUGACACAUGAGAAAUUGGUGAGUUAUAGGCUCGGCCGUACCGACCACGCGGAGUGGAUCCGGCCGACGUAUUAUUGAGAUAAGAGUUGAUCAUCCAGCCGUAUUGGUCAUUCUAGUUGACUUCGGCUGAUAUAUUUCUUAUUAUGUAUGUUAUUACCUAGAGAGUAGUAAAUAAAUGUAGUUGAGACGAGUGUAUGUAUUUUGCAUUGAGUGACAAAAUAGUAAUGUUAUAUCUUUGUGAGUGGUUGCCUACUUAUCGAGACAACGAUGAUUUAUCAGUAUUGCGGGCUGCAGACCGUAAUAUUAAUAACUCAUUCGUGGAUUCGUUAAGUAAGUAAACCGGUAGAUUAUGUUUUUGUACUUAUUCAGAAUGCUUAGUAGUAAUAGAGUAUGUAUUGUGUCGGUUAAAUUAUUUCCAUUAGAUUGGUUGGUUAUAAUUGUGACAAGACGGAAUGUUAAGGGAAACCAGUACUUUCCAUCGAUCUGGAUGACCAGAGAUUACUUUUGUAAGUAUGCAAAGUGGAUUGAGUUCAGCCAUUAUUUAUGCUGUGAGAGCAAAGAGAUUGUUUUCGAAAGGCUGUCAAAAAUACUUAGCUCAUGUGGUGCUAAAUGAUGUUGUUUGGAGUAGUGUGAAUAAUGUCGAAAGAGUUAGACUUUUCUUGAUGUCUUCCCUUGAAAGUAUACCUGGAUUGCCUUCAGGCAGAGAUAUGAGGUUCACUAUUGAUUUGUUGCCAGGUAUAAAUUUAUAUUGGAGAUUGGUUCAUGAUGAGUUAAGGGAAUUGGAAAUUCAGUUGAGGAAUUGGUUGAUAAAAGUUUUAUUCAACCUAGUACAACACUUUUGAGGAGCCCCAGUUUGUUGGUGAGGAAGAAAAUGGAUCUUGAGACUGUUCAUUGAUUAUAGACAAUGGAGUCGGGUAACGAUUGAGAACCGUUAUCCAUGGUGAUGUACUGAUGUUUAUUUAACCAGCUCAGAAGUAAUUGCGAAGAUUCAAAGAUUGAAUUGAGAUCUGGUUACUACCAAUUGAAUAUUAUAAGUGACGUUGAUCAUAAGAUGGUUUUCUGGACUUGUUAUGGUCCUUAUAAAGUUUGGUGAUGCUAUGUGGAUACUCAUGCGGUUUUAUGAGUUGAUGGAUGAAGUAUUCCAAUAAUGCCUUGAUAAUUGAUAUCAUUUUCAUUGAAGAUAUUCUGGCAUAUUCUGAGCCAGAGCAGAGCAUGUAAACGUAUUAAGUCGGUAGAAGCAAAGAUUGGAAGAACGUUGGAUUGUAUGCUAAGUUUAGCAAAUGCGAAUGUUGGAUGAAUCAAGCAGCAUUUCUGGGAUAUGUUAUAUAUUCUUAAGGUAUUCAAGUGAAUCCUUAAAAGGUAGCAGAAAUUGAAAAUUUGGAACAACCACGAGUCGUAAUUGAGAUUUGGAAUUUCUUAGCUUACCAGGCUAUCUUGGAUGGUUGUGAAAGAUUUUUCAGUCAUUGCUUUGUCAUUGACGAGACUGUUGAGAAAAGAGGUUAGGUAUGAGUGGGAAGGAAUUGUAAGCAAAGGAUUCAACAACUGAAGUAUUUCCUCACUCAUGCACGUAUUUUGGUAUUCCCAGAGAAUAGUGGUAAUCAUAAAUUUUUAGUGAUGUUUCUUGAAUGGUAUUGGAGGCAUGUUGAUGCAAAUGUUAGGGGUGAUUGCAUACGUUUCACGAUAAAUGGAAUCUCAUAAGAUGAAUUACCCUACUGGUGAUUUGGAAGUCACGAUUACCAUUCUUGCUGUGAAGUUAUGGAGACAUUAUAUUUUAGUGGGAAUGCAAGAUUUUUUUUUACGAAUCCAAAAAGUCUUCAAUAUCCAUUACUUGGAAGGAAUUUGAUAUGAGGCAGCGAAAGUGAAUUGUAUUGCUUAAUGAACAUGAUUGUACGAUCAGGGUGAUCGUAAAGUUUGUUCUAGCUGAAGCACUUGGUGAGAAGACUACAGUAAGAUUAAUAUCUGGCACGUUUGCCAAGAGUAUCAUUUUGUGGAUUGAAAACCAACGGAAGAAAAAUUAAGAAUGGAAGAUCGAGAAGAAGUUAUACUUGUUAAGUAACAAGUUAGUACAUUUACCCCAGUGUUGAGUAACAACCUUUCCCAGACAGUGCAACACUACUUAUUUGUUUUAUGGAAAAGAGAAUUGGAUUACGGAACUGCUAAGUUUUCUUAAGUAUGUUGGUUGUGCAGUUUCCGAAGUAACGCCAUAUAAGGACCAUGAAAUGUGUCACGUGAGUCGGUUUUUGAUGACUUGUGAAUGGAAUGUUUCUGGGUAGAGAAAGAUUCGAUCGAGAAAGAGUUUUAGUAGACCCUGAGACUAUGGAUGAGUCUCCUCAAAGUAUUCAGGUGAUUAAGUUAACCUGAAGUAACCAGGAAUGGCAAAAGAGAUCAACAGAUGGAUAUGCCACUAAUCGAGUGUGUAAGGUAAAUGGUUUGAUAUUUUUGGAAAAUUCACCACGAACAGAAAUGAAGAGAAUUGGAAAAGAGACAAGAUAAGAUUUAAACACAUCAGACCGUUUUGAUCAUUAAAAGAAUCGAUGAAGCUGCAUACAAGUUUGUGAUGCCUUCAGAAUUGGCUAAGGCACAUAAUGUAUUUUGUGUUCGAUGCGUUGUCACUAGGUGGCAGAUUUGUCACAUGGGAUUAUGGUGUAACUAUUGAGAAUUAAAUUGGAUUCGACUUGAUAAGGAACCAAGGACGACUUUGGAUUGGAAAAAGAAGGUCCUGAGAAUUAAGACAGAGUAAGUAGUAAAAGCUUUGUGAAGGAAAUCAUUCAGUAGAAAAGUAUGUGGGAGAAAGAGAAUCGGAUGAGAAAGAUUUACCCGAAGCUAUUGUUGGAGUAUGGUUGAUUUAGUUGGUUGCUGGAAUUUCGGGGACGAAAUUCUAUAAGGAGGAAAGAUUGUCACAGCCCGUCCCGGAAUUUUAAUUCCGAGGACAUGAAAAGACGAAAAUGCCCUUAAACGGGACUAAGGGGCGAAAAUUUAACAAUUUGGAUUGAGUUGGACACGUGGGAUCCCCACAUCCCUCAAAACCUUCCCCAAUUCCCGUACCUUGUCUCUCUAUCUCUCUUCCCUCACGACUCUCUCUCACUCUCAGUUCUCUCUCUUCCUCUCCGACGCUCAACCUCACCCAAAACCACCUAAAACAUAAACAAACGUCCAAGAUUUAAGACCACCAUUUGGACUCCUGGAACUUCCACGAUCACGUAGAGACACCAAUUUCAGGUAAGUUUUGCUUCGAAAAACCCUAGUUUCUAAAGUUCCCGUGAAAUGGUACUGUUCAUGAUCUUUUAAAUGGUUACGAUUUUAGGCUAAAACAAGAUCACAGCGAGAGCUUAGUGAGGUCCCAAGGAAGCUCGGAGUGCUUUCGUUGGAAGUUUUUGGACGUAAAGAACACGGAGAUCGACAAGUUCAAAGUUUGGCCGGAGCUUUCGAGGCAUUUUCCGGCGAAUCCCCGGCGAGUUAGGAGUCGAGGUAGGUAUCAAUCUCUUCGUCUCGUCAAGUACUACAACUUUCCUUUUUUUUUUCACUCAAUUUCGUUGAGUAUUGAAGAAGUUAUACUCAUUUGAAAAAUACCCAGUUUCCGGCGACCUCCGAGGCUUUCGAGGCAGUUUCCGGCCAAACCACGGCGAACUAGGUGUUGUGCAAGGUACCAUUCUCUUUGUCUCUUCAAGGGCUACAACUUUCGUUUUUGAAUCACUUGAUUUCGUUGAGAAAUGACAAAGUUAUGGCAAUUUGAAAAACUGCCCAGAAAACGGCCGCCGGAAAAACCAGUCCGGCGACCCAAGGAAGAAGAAGGUGCUACAGUAAAAAAUAAAAAAUAAAAAUAAAAUUAUUUUAAAAAAUAUGUCGACGUCCGUGACGUCGAGUAGAUCACUGUGGUAUAUUCAUAUACCUAAAUUGAACACCGUAUGAGAAAGUUAUUGAAGAUUGUUGGUUAGGUGUUCAAAUAACGUUUUAUAGUUUUCACAUUUAGGUGAAAAUGUGAAUUGAUGAUCCGACCGUUGGAUCGUCACCAAACUUUGAUACGUUGUAAUACGUAAUAUUUGAGGAUUAUUGGAACUUACGGAUUGGGAAUCCGAGUUACGGAUCUUCCGGAAUUGGAAUUGUAAGUCCAUAAUAUAAAAUGUUAACCGUCACUUAGUUUUGGAAAUUGACGGAGAUCCGACCGUUGGAUGGUAAUGAAAUUUUAGGAUGUUAUCCUAGAGGAUAUAUUGUGGACCUCUGGAAGUUAUGGAUUUAAAAUCUGAGUGGCAGAUCUUCCGGAUCGAACUACGUAGUGACGUAUUUUUAUAUAAGUUAUAUAUUCUAUCGAUAUGAAUUCUGAGGUUGGAUUUGAUUACUAUUCUAGGCGGCGAUCGUCGUGACGCCUUGAUGUGUGGUGCUAGGGAGUUGUUGGACGAACUCCAGGUGAGUGGGCAGUUUUGUUUUCCGUAUAUAUAUAUAUAUACUUAACGUUUUCCCAGAAAUUGAAAAAUGCAUGAAAUUAUGUUUUAAAAUGAAAUGCAUAUGAGUUAUGUGGAAAAACGGGAAGUGAAAUACCAUGCAUAGAAUUGAUAUGAAAAGUAUAUAGAAAUGUGAGUUGAAAUGCCAUGCAUGAAUUAAUAUAUGAUGCAUAUGUAUGAAUUGGUGCGGUGGACGCACAGGUAAGAAUUGAUUUAUGAUGCAUAUGUAUGAAAUGGUGCGGUGGACGCACAGAUGAGUAUUUAAUUACUGUUAUGAUGAUGAUGAUAUAUAUUGAGCUCAAAUCCUGCACCAUGGUUUAGUGCUUAUAGUAUUCACCGCAUCGCACGCUCGCCUUGGAUCCAAGUAGAUGCUAGUCGUACAGUCCACGCGGAGUGGGUACGACAGACCAGUCGCGAGAGUGUUAGUGAGAUUCCGACUGGUGGGUGACCUUAGAUUAUGUGCACAGAUGAUUUAUGAGAAAGCACUAGAGCGUAACUUGUGUGCAGAAGGCCGGACGGGUCACAGAGGUGACUCCGGUAGAGUGAUAAUGAUAGAUUUUGAGCUCUAGGUUCAACCGUAUAGGGCUAUUAGAGGGCCUACGGUUGAUUACUUUCUUGCACCUGAUAUGAUUAUGUUGAUGCAUUCAUACCUUAUUACUGUUGAGAUGAUGUGGCAUGGCAUAAUUAAUAUGAGAAAUGUUGAGAUGACAUGGCAUGGCAUGAUUGAUAAAGAAAAAUGUUGAGAUAGUAAAAAUGAAGUUUGAGAAUAUAUAUGUAUAUUUAUAUUUUACAUUUCUGGGAAAGUAUACAGGUUUUACGGAGAGGGGUUACAACGUUUUGAGAAAUGUUUGGAUUUGGAAAAGAAUUGUUUUACUGACCCACUCAAUUUUGGUUUUGCGCCCCUCCAGGUUCAGGAAUCACAAAGGUGUGGUGACUACGAGGAAUUCGACGGUGUUCUGACAGAUUGGACAAAAUUAGGACUCACCUUCGGGUGUAUCAAUUUAAAUUGUAUCUUAAAGCUUCCGUACUGUGCAAAUGGUUACGUCACUCUCACGUGACGGCCAGCAUGCCCUCCUUCGGGACGGGGUGUGUCAAUAAUACUAUUAGAAACGGUUACAAUAAAAAAAUUCAAACAUUUUGAUUUAAUAAAUGGAUAAAAACUAUGGAAAAAUAAGAAAUAAUAAAUGGCAAAAGAAUGUAUCCAUAGUGUUAAAAAAACUGGUACAUUUUACAAAAAAAAUAGGUACAUUUCACAUAUAACAAAGAGGU
RNAcentral lists this long non-coding RNA (7505 nucleotides) under Malus domestica (apple). Its description in RNAcentral is "long non-coding RNA (MDOM_LNC002362)". The record is from RNAcentral. Lineage: Eukaryota; Viridiplantae; Streptophyta; Magnoliopsida; Rosales; Rosaceae.